UAGCUAGUUGGUAAGGUAACGGCUUACCAAGGCGACGAUCAGUAGCCGGACUGAGAGGUUGAUCGGCCACAUUGGGACUGAGACACGGCCCAGACUCCUACGGGAGGCAGCAGUGGGGAAUAUUGCACAAUGGAGGAAACUCUGAUGCAGCGAUGCCGCGUGAGGGAAGAAGGUUUUAGGAUUGUAAACCUCUGUCUUCAGGGACGAAAAAAGACGGUACCUGAGGAGGAAGCUCCGGCUAACUACGUGCCAGCAGCCGCGGUAAUACGUAGGGAGCGAGCGUUGUCCGGAAUUACUGGGUGUAAAGGGAGCGUAGGCGGGAUCGCAAGUCAGAUGUGAAAACUAUGGGCUUAACCCAUAAACUGCAUUUGAAACUGUGGUUCUUGAGUGAAGUAGAGGUAAGCGGAAUUCCUAGUGUAGCGGUGAAAUGCGUAGAUAUUAGGAGGAACAUCAGUGGCGAAGGCGGCUUACUGGGCUUUAACUGACGCUGAGGCUCGAAAGCGUGGGGAGCAAACAGGAUUAGAUACCCUGGUAGUCCACGCCGUAAACGAUGAUUACUAGGUGUGGGGGGACUGACCCCUUCCGUGCCGCAGCAAACGCAAUAAGUAAUCCACCUGGGGAGUACGACCGCAAGGUUGAAACUCAAAGGAAUUGACGGGGGCCCGCACAAGCAGUGGAGUAUGUGGAUUAAUUCGAAGCAACGCGAAGAACCUUACCAGGUCUUGACAUCGUAUGCAUAGCUCAGAGAUGAGUGAAAUCUCUUCAGAGACAUAUAGACAGGUGGUGCAUGGUUGUCGUCAGCUCGUGUCGUGAGAUGUUGGGUUAAGUCCCGCAACGAGCGCAACCCUUACUGUUAGUUGCUACGCAAGAGCACUCUAGCAGGACUGCCGUUGACAAAACGGAGGAAGGUGGGGAUGACGUCAAAUCAUCAUGCCCCUUAUGACCUGGGCCUCACACGUACUACAAUGGCUGUCAACAGAGGGAAGCAAAGCCGCGAGGUGGAGCGAACCCCUAAAAGCAGUCUUAGUUCGGAUUGUAGGCUGCAACCCGCCUACAUGAAGUCGGAAUUGCUAGUAAUCGCAGAUCAGCAUGCUGCGGUGAAUACGUUCCCGGGCCUUGUACACACCGCCCGUCACGCCAUGGGAGUCGGUAACACCCGAAGCCUGUAGUCUAACCGCAAGGAGGACGCAGUCGAAGGUGGGAUUGAUGACUGGGGUGAAGUCGUAACAAGGUAACCGUACUAGUACGAAUC
Molecule: ribosomal RNA, 1252 nt
Filed under: metagenome
Description: bacterial SSU rRNA
Rfam family: Bacterial small subunit ribosomal RNA
Source: RNAcentral